This 219-nucleotide long non-coding RNA is filed under the name Panax ginseng (ginseng). Its description in RNAcentral is "long non-coding RNA (PGIN_LNC004643)". Lineage: Eukaryota; Viridiplantae; Streptophyta; Magnoliopsida; Apiales; Araliaceae. The record is from RNAcentral.
CAGAAACUAAGUGGUUGUCAAAACAAACUCGGCCACUAAUCAAUAUAGGAAGCUAAGCGGCCAAUUCCCCGCCCAUACAAAGAAUUGAUCAACCUAACCACUACAUCGACCAGGAAGCUAAGUGAUUCUAAAACCAAGUACAAAUUCCCCGCCCAUACAAGGAAUCAUACAACUCAGCCGCCGACAUGAGUCCUCAUUGAAAUCCCCACCUAAUCUUAA